This 1248-nucleotide ribosomal RNA is filed under the name unidentified. Its description in RNAcentral is "Discoporella cookae 16S ribosomal RNA". The stretch from base 801 to 1155 matches the Rfam family "Archaeal large subunit ribosomal RNA", at positions 2147 to 2719 of the family's 2987-position model. The record is from RNAcentral.
UAAAAUUAUAAAAUCAAAAAACUAAAAAUAACCUUAACUAAAUUAAGCUAAAUUUAAUAAAAGCAAAUAAAAUAAAAAAUACUGAAAAGAAAAAUCCAAAAUUAAAAUAAUUGAAUUAAAAUCUCCUACCUUGUGUAUAAUGGACUUUCAAAAUAAAAUUUAAAUAAAAAUUCCCGAAAAUAAACGAGCUAGUAUUAUUCUGUUAAGAACUUUGACAAAAUGUGGCAAAAUUUUUUUAUAGAAAUAACACUAGAAACGAAAUAUUAUUCGCGUUUAUAGAUAGCUGGUUAUUCCUAAAAAGUAUAAAAGUACUACUUUAAUUAUUAAAACGAAUUAACUUUGGGAUAAGCUAAAGUUAAAAAAAGAAAUGUAAAAGUAAACACAAAAAUCUUUCUAAACUUAAUAGUAGUUAAGAAAAAAUACUUCUCUCAAAAUAAAUAUUAAAAAUAAUCUAUUAUAAAUUAAGCAAUCAAAAAAAUAAGGAGUAAUAAAGAAAAACAAUUUAACUUUAAAUAAACUGAAUAGUAUAAAUAUUAAAAUAAGAUAAAAACAUAAUAUAAAUUAAAUAGAUAAAUGAACUCGGCAAAGAAAGCAACGCCUGUUUAAUAAAAACAUCGCUCUCAGAAAUUAUUAAGAGUAUUGUCUGCCCAGUGACUGAUUGGUUUAACGGCCGCGUAUUAGUGCUAAGGUAGCAUAAUAAUUUGCCUUUUUAUUGAAGGCUAGUAUGAAUGGCAUAACGAAGCUUAACUGUCUCUAACUAUAUAAAAAAAAAUUAGUAAAAAAGUGAAAAAACUUUUUUAUUAUUGAAGGACGAAAAGACCCUAUAGAGCUUUAAUAUAAUUAGUAAAUUAAGUUUAAAGAAAAAACUAUAUUAACUUAUAUAUUUUUAUUGGGGCAAUAGAAAAAAAAUUUAAUACGUAAUUUUGUUAUAACAAACAAAAAAAACCUCAAAGAGAAUAAAUAUAAGCUACCUUAGGGAUAACAGCGUAAUCUUACCAGAGAGACCUAAUCAAAGGAAAGGUUUACGACCUCGAUGUUGGACUAAGAAAACCUAAAGGUGUAGAAGUCUUUAAAAGUUGGCCUGUUCGGCCAUUAAUAUCUUACAUGAUCUGAGUUUAGGUCGGCGUAAGCUAGUCCGGUUUCUAUCCUCAAUAAUAUAAAAUCUUUAUUUUUAUUACGAAAGGAACUAAAUAAAAAGUUAAACUUAAAAUUUAUAAAAAAUAAUUUAAUAAAAAUAAAAUUCAUAUA